RNAcentral lists this long non-coding RNA (1654 nucleotides) under Lonchura striata (white-rumped munia). RNAcentral describes it as "domestica (Bengalese finch) lncRNA (ENSLSDG00000013879.1)". The record is from RNAcentral. Lineage: Eukaryota; Metazoa; Chordata; Aves; Passeriformes; Estrildidae.
GGACCACCACAGUUCAGAUCUAUUACAUUAGUCUGCUUUGUGAUUUUAGCAACACUGAAAGAAAACAGUAAACGAUGCUGCAGUGUGAGCUUAACCUAGAGAACUCUCCUACUUCAACACAGUGACAGCAGUUCUGAUUGAUUCUCUGAUUAAUAAGACUAUCUAUGGUAUUUUUCAUGCAACCAACAAGGAACAUGGCAGCAUACUUCAUUUACAUCUAGUCUCAUGAAUGCUGGUUGGUUAGACUCCUCUGCAGAAAACGUGAGACGUUUUUAGACUGAAGACUUGGCCAUUCCACAAAUAGUGACCCCAUUUUCUACAUCCUGAUAAAAUUCACAAUGUGAGGAACCGCUCCUCUGUGCAAUCCUUUUUAGAGGCAUUACAAUGGAAAGUGGUAAGGGAGCUGGUGUGCAGAAGAGGACUUUUUCAGGCGGCCGUACCGGGCCCUUAGCCGUGGCGUGGAAGGGCGAUACGGUGUCCGCGCAGCCGGCGCUGCCUCCGCCCGUUACCGCGGCGCGCGGGAGGGGCGCGGCCGGCCCGCGGCGGGACCGGCCGGUGCGCGCAGCCCCGGCGGCCGUGGAGCCGUUCCUACCCCUGUCAGUCGGUAGAGGGAACCAUCUGAGUGUCGCUACAAUCUGGGGUAGGACAGCAUGAGAUACUGGGGUUUUAGAACAAAAUGGCAUGAAGUCCCACUGGUCCCACAAUAACGUCGUGGAGAACCACCACUAGGAGUUUCCUCGGCUUUCAAGGUGACUGAGCACUUUUUCAGAAACGUGACAUUCUCUCUGCUCUGCUUCUUUUUGACUAAUGUUGCUUCUUUAUCAUUCUGUGAUCUUUUGGAACAUUUUCGGGUUUCACUCUGAGAAACUCUGAUCUAAACUAUAGCAGAGCUAUACAGAGGGGACACAAUUGUACCGUUUGAUGUCAAGCUCUUGAUCUCCUUCAUCUCCUCUGUCUGGCUCCCAGUAUCUUUUCUCCCAGGAGAGAAUAUUGUUGACAUAAAGAUGGAGGAUAUUUUAUGAUAGACAUUUUAGAUAACUGGACACUUAACACACCUCUCAGUUGUUUUCACAAUCUCUAUGCAUUUCUACAACAAAUCAAUUCAGAAUUACUGUCCACAGCUCUGAGAAUCAACCAAAAAAUAAUGUACAGUGAACACCUGGUAUUUUUUCCUGAUAAAUCUUAACAGGAAGUGGGUGAAAUGAAGGAGCACUGGCUUGUGUAUGUUGUGCCUCCAUCACCCGGUGCCAUAGCACCAAGCUGCUAGCAGAGGCUUGUUUGCCUACUGUGCAGUUCGAGCUACCUCCUGAAAUAUUUAGUUGCACAUUUAAAAAGAAACUGCUGCUGCUGAGGAGAUUGAGGCUGAAAGACCCUUCCUAGGGAAGAAGGACUGAGGACAUGGCAUUUUGGCAGGCUUUGAACUUCAGAGCAGUUCAGUCGAGGAGCAAGAUCAGUCGAGAUGUGUGUGAGGCCAAAGGAAGUUAAGGUGGCUGUGCUGAAGGGAGUGUGGGCAGACCUGUGUAUUGAUGACCAGUUGUGUGCAUUUGGGCUCAGGAGCUCUCUAAGGAACACUGGAUGAGCACACUGCAAGAAUAGGAGAAUUUAUAAUCAAACAACUUUGUGCAAAUUCAGGGCACUGGUUUCACCCUCCACU